Molecule: ribosomal RNA, 93 nt
Filed under: Paenibacillus polymyxa
Lineage: Bacteria; Bacillati; Bacillota; Bacilli; Caryophanales; Paenibacillaceae
Description: partial 16S ribosomal RNA
Rfam family: Bacterial small subunit ribosomal RNA
Source: RNAcentral
UCUUUAAUGGAGAGUUUGAUCCUGGCUCAGGACGAACGCUGGCGGCGUGCCUAAUACAUGCAAGUCGAGCGGGGUUAGUUAGAAGCUUGCUUC